AACGAACGCUGGCGGCAUGCCUAACACAUGCAAGUCGAACGAGACCUUCGGGUCUAGUGGCGCACGGGUGCGUAACACGUGGGAAUCUGCCCUUUGCUUCGGAAUAACAGUUAGAAAUGACUGCUAAUACCGGAUGAUGUCGAAAGACCAAAGAUUUAUCGGCAAAGGAUGAGCCCGCGUAGGAUUAGGUAGUUGGUGGGGUAAAGGCCUACCAAGCCGACGAUCCUUAGCUGGUCUGAGAGGAUGAUCAGCCACACUGGGACUGAGACACGGCCCAGACUCCUACGGGAGGCAGCAGUGGGGAAUAUUGGAUAAUGGGCGAAAGCCUGAUCCAGCAAUGCCGCGUGAGUGAUGAAGGCCUUAGGGUUGUAAAGCUCUUUUACCAGGGAUGAUAAUGACAGUACCUGGAGAAUAAGCUCUGGCUAACUCCGUG
This 433-nucleotide ribosomal RNA is filed under the name uncultured bacterium. RNAcentral's name for it is "partial 16S ribosomal RNA". It matches the Rfam family "Bacterial small subunit ribosomal RNA", at positions 29 to 507 of the family's 1533-position model. The record is from RNAcentral.